GCCAGGAGCUGGGCAAAGCACCUGCAGAAAGCCCCCAAGGAACGGCUGUGGUGAAGGUCCGAUGAUGCCAAACAUUUUCAUUUCUCAGGAGAAAAAGUCAGUGGUGCUUGGCAGGAUUUGGACUUCUCUGCAAGACACCUCUGAUCACAACACAUCCUCAUGGUUUGAAAAAUUCAUCCAAGAACCUGCAAUGUCACAAACAGGAGCUGGAGCUAAACAUGUCUGGGAAGACAAAUUCCUUAACUGUUCAGUGCUGAAGGACAUGGUCCCACUGUUUCUUGGUCAGAUCAGGUUUUUUGUUGUUUCAUGGGACAAGUUCUGUCCUUUGGUGAGUAAAGCAGGAUUGAUUUCAGUCAGAAGUAAUGUGUGUGUGCACCCAAGAACUGGCUUUUGUUCUGUAUGAAGCAACCACUCUCACUGAUUUAUGCCCCACAUUUUCAAAAAUGCAAUAAUAGCACUGCAUUGUCUAAAUCAGGAAUGUGUACAUUAUCCUAAAAGUUGAGAUGCAGGAGAGCAGAAGAACACCUUUGUCAGGUCAAGAAACGUGAUUAUUUCCAUGGCUACCAGCAGCUCUUAAUUGCCAUAAUAGGCUCUUAUUCGGGGAGAAGUAGUUAGGUUUGCACAGAAGAGUGAAUAGGUACUUUAUGAAAAAACCAUUAACUACAGAGAAAAGUUCUCAAAGUAGAACUGAAAUAUGGAACAAAAUACAGGCAGCUGCUUGGCAUCUCCAGAAAUAGUACACAGGGUGUUCUUAGUCAUCCAUGUCUUCUAUAGGGAAAACAACACAAAUAUCCCAUUAAAAUAUUUAAUUACUGUAAUACUCCUUAUUACCAACUAAACAUAAAUAAAAG
Molecule: long non-coding RNA, 851 nt
Filed under: Taeniopygia guttata (zebra finch)
Lineage: Eukaryota; Metazoa; Chordata; Aves; Passeriformes; Estrildidae
Description: lncRNA (ENSTGUG00000024099.1)
Source: RNAcentral